Molecule: long non-coding RNA, 770 nt
Filed under: Drosophila guanche
Lineage: Eukaryota; Metazoa; Arthropoda; Insecta; Diptera; Drosophilidae
Source: RNAcentral
CGAUAACGCAACUUAUAAGCAUUUUUGGCUAUCGGGCCUUGAAUCAUAAAAAACUCAAAAUCACAUUUUUCCAUAUAAAAUGUAAACCAAGUAGUCCAUGCAAAAUAAAAACUCAGUUGAGAACAUUGAGAAUAGUCAGUCAACAUUUGGCUGUGAACACGCAAAAUUCUAAAUUCAACCAAAUAUUUUCUGUUCUAAUUUUUCAUUAAAAAGUGUAACUCAAAUUUAGAUUUUAGGUUUAAGUUCAAAGUGGAUCAAAUCAAAACUGCACACAAGACUUUCCACACCAUGCAUAUGCAUGUAUGGAACAUGUUCGUACAUAUGUAGAUAAGCACACAGAAGAGAAUAGAAUAGCCGCAGCGAAGUAUACAACAUAUCCCACCAUAUACCAACACUGUAAACACUUUUAAAAAUUUCGAAAAAUUUGAUUGGUUGAAAGUUGAGAACGCGUAAAAAGUCGGAAAAAGUAUUAAGCAAGCCGCUUUAAUUAUUUUAAUGUAAUUUUGUACAAUUUCUAUUUUAGGAUAGAACAGAUACCCCGUCGCUUCGAUGGGUGAAUUAAACAGGCAAACUGCGACGUGGAUUAGGCUACUGGGGAUACCACGUUAAAAAAAAACGCGCCUUGAACUCUACCAAAUGCUGGUGGUGUGGAAAAGAGUUCUUUGCCGUGUACAAAACAUUGAUUCUGGAUAAAUAAAGUGUAACUAAUUGUAAUAAAUGUAUCCCUACUAUAAUCUUGACAAGUGGGGAAAAUCCUACUUCAAACGACC